This is a long non-coding RNA of Bos taurus (domestic cattle), 465 nucleotides long. Lineage: Eukaryota; Metazoa; Chordata; Mammalia; Artiodactyla; Bovidae. The record is from Ensembl.
GUUCUCUCCGCCCAGGAGUGCGGGCACUGCAGCUCCGCGCCGAGGGACCAGGCAUAUUCUGUUUUCCGUUGGCGUCCAUGAAAGAGUAACAGGCUCCAGUCCCUUCACGUGUCCUGAAACUACUCACCUAUCUAAGAAUCUCAGCAUUAUUGGCAUAACUCCACCUCCCUGUGCCUUUCCUCUCACGGAAGGAAGCUGAAAGAAGGGAUGAGUCAUGAGAAGCACAUACAGAGCUGGCCUGUCAGUGGAGCCAUUACUGCUGAGAAUGACCAGAACGUGGGGCUCAAGAACAUCACCCUGUGAUAGAAGGUGGAGCCAAAAAGCUACUGCCCUCACAGCUGCCGUAAACCGCCUCUUGUCUUCCAGGAGGCUGGGAGCGAGGACGGAGACGUCUCCUCCGAGGCAACAGAAACUCCUCCAGCAUCUUCUCUGUCAAACAGCUCUGCUCCUGAGGAAGCACCAGCC